RNAcentral lists this transfer RNA (85 nucleotides) under Fulvimonas sp. Its description in RNAcentral is "tRNA-Leu". It matches the Rfam family "tRNA". From Rfam's summary of the family: Transfer RNA (tRNA) molecules are approximately 80 nucleotides in length. The record is from RNAcentral. Lineage: Bacteria; Pseudomonadati; Pseudomonadota; Gammaproteobacteria; Lysobacterales; Rhodanobacteraceae. RNAcentral also lists the same sequence under 1 other name.
GCGAAAGUGGCGGAACUGGUAGACGCACCAGAUUUAGGUUCUGGCGGGUUGCCCCGUGAGGGUUCGAGUCCCUCCUUUCGCACCA